This is a long non-coding RNA of Homarus americanus (American lobster), 1654 nucleotides long. RefSeq lists it as uncharacterized. Lineage: Eukaryota; Metazoa; Arthropoda; Malacostraca; Decapoda; Nephropidae. The transcript has 2 exons. The record is from RefSeq and is a predicted model, not a curated record.
AUUGGUAUUAUAUUGCGGCGAUCGGCGAGCACGGAGACCGAAGCCUCACUCGACCGUGUCUCGGGAGGCGUGGGGUUUGGUCCGAGGCCACUCGCAGUCAUCGUCGAGGGUAUAGUCCGGAACGCCGGUCGACGUGACGUCUCGUCGAAAUUCCGGAGCGGUCUUCUCGUCGCGGGGCGCGCCGGAGGUCGACGCUACGACGUUCCCGGAGGGGUCGUCGUCGUCGUCGGGUAUUUGACGUGCAUCCGGAGUAGAACGAGGGCACGCGUCGAACCGUCGAAAGUGCGCAAGAAAUGAGAUCGCGUAAAUAACGGCAGAUUAAUUUCGUCGACACUCGUACGUAUAAAAGUGCAAAGUAAAUAAAUAAUACGUAUUUUUUUUAUGGGAAUUAGCCCACCCGGGCACGGGUCACCGACCCACAUCGGGGCGAAAAUGUAAUAAUAAUAAUAAUUGUUGAAGUUACAGUGUUCAUUUUUGGUGGAUAUCAACGAAAUAUGAUGCGAGAGGCUCAGACGACGACACAAACGACGACGCUCUCUCCGGUAUAUUUUCGGGACCGUCCGUAAAAACGAAACCAAAACACGCGUGCGCAUUCAAAGUGGCGCAUUAUUGCACAAGUAAAAUAAAACAUAUUGACAUAAAUAUGGGGUAACCUAGUUUAUAUGUAACAAUAAUACUGAAGAACCUAAAAGAAAUACAAAAUGGAAAAAAAAAUCAAAAGUGAGGAACAAUAGAUUUAUGUUGUGUUGUCAAUAGUAAGAGAAACAAUCGAGACAGAGAGUCAGACGAGCGACCCGGGACUCGGUCACAAUUUUAGGGAUGCCACGUAGCAGGAAGAUCUACCACGGACGACACAUUACGCUUCCAAUAUUGUCUGCGGAGGUGGUAUCUCCCCGUUUGGUGGCUGCCUAAGUAUGUAAGAUUUUCCAAUGGAAAGUGUAUGUUUGGCAAAUGUAUCCAGGUCUUUAGAGAAUGUACUCAGAUAUUUGGGUUAGGUGUCAAGGGUUCAUGUAUAAUUUGCAUGCCUAAUUGACUAUGUAUAUUUUUUAACCUUAAUUUUUCAUUUGCAGUCACCCGACGGGAGUCAGAAACGUCAUUUUUGUGCGGACCGGCGACUCGACGGACCCCGGCCGAGGACGCCGCUCGAACCGCGGUUGCGGAGGAGCGCGCCGAUACGAGUCGGAGACGGCUCGUACAGUCGGCGCACGAGAGCGGUCCGGACGAAGACAUUCGGGAACCGAGGACGAAGACGCUCGUCGACUGCGGACGAAGACGCUCGUCGACUGCGGACGAAGACACCGGUCGACGCGCGAGGAAGAUGCUCCGGAACACGGGAAGAACGCCACACUCCCGAGUGCGGGAAGACACUCGUCAACGCAGAAGGAGACACGCAUCAAUGUCGGGCCGGCGCGAUUGUUUUAAAGACGAUUUAACGUGUAAAAUGAAUGUACGUGUUGUUUGUAGUAUUGUUUUUAGAGACCGACUCUGCGAAGACGGAGGAAGUCGAUACAUGUCGAGAAUGAAUUUAUUGAAGAUGUUGCCUGUGAUCACUAGGUGUUUGCACUAAUUUGGGGAGAUGAUUACGAUCGUAGAACGUCACGGAAUGCGGCGCGCACGUCAUUUGUGGCGGGACGCAUCCGUAAAUAACGGCAGC